AGAUAAUAGAUACCCGGGUAGUCCACGCCCUAAACGAUGCAUACUAGGUAUUGGCAGUAUCGACCCUGUCAGUGCCGUUUAGAAAAGCUAACGCGUUAAGUAUGCCGCCUGGGGAGUACGGCCGCAAGGCUAAAACUCAAAGGAAUAGACGGGGACCCGCACAAGCAGUGGAACAUGUGGUUUAAUUCGAUGGUAAACGGGGAACCUUACCUGGGCUCAACUACUAGCUGCAUCGGACCAGAAAUGGACCGAGCCUUCGAGGGUGCUAGAUAGGUGCUGCAUGGUUGCCGUCAGCUCGUGCCGUGAGGUGUACCAUUAAGUUGGGAAACGAGCGCAACCCUCGCCGUGUGUUAAAUGUACACGCGGGACCGCCCGGCCCUUAGUUCAGAAGAAAUUCUGAGUUGAGGGCCGGGAGGAAGGGGAGGACGACGUCAAAUCAGCAUGGCUCUUACGUCCAGGGCUACACACAUGUUACAAUGGCCGAUACAAUGGGUUGCCAAGCCGCGAGGCGGAGCUAAUCCCAUCAAAAUCGGCCUCAGUUCAGAUU
Molecule: ribosomal RNA, 547 nt
Filed under: uncultured bacterium
Lineage: Bacteria
Description: bacterial SSU rRNA
Rfam family: Bacterial small subunit ribosomal RNA
Source: RNAcentral